CAGCCGCCGCGGGAAUACGUAGGGUGCAAGCGUUAAUCGGAAUUACUGGGCGUAAAGCGUGCGCAGGCGGUUAUAUAAGUCAGAUGUGAAAUCCCCGGGCUCAACCUGGGAACUGCAUUUGAGACUGUAUGGCUAGAGUGUGUCAGAGGGGGGUAGAAUUCCACGUGUAGCAGUGAAAUGCAUAGAUAUGUGGAGGAAUACCGAUGGCGAAGGCAGCCCCCUGGGAUAACACUGACGCUCAUGCACGAAAGCGUGGGGAGCAAACAGGAUUAGAUACCCGCGUAGUCCCUGUCUCUUAUAC
Molecule: ribosomal RNA, 301 nt
Filed under: uncultured bacterium
Lineage: Bacteria
Description: partial 16S ribosomal RNA
Rfam family: Bacterial small subunit ribosomal RNA
Source: RNAcentral